This is a long non-coding RNA of Oryzias melastigma (Indian medaka), 1172 nucleotides long. RefSeq lists it as uncharacterized. NCBI's taxonomy places the organism in Eukaryota, Metazoa, Chordata, Actinopteri, Beloniformes, Adrianichthyidae. The record is from RefSeq and is a predicted model, not a curated record. The transcript is spliced from 3 exons.
AGAUGUAAAUUUCGGGUCUAGCACAUCAUGUCAAGUGGAUGAAGUUCUUGUAGAAAAUCAGCAGCAAAAGGAGGGUGCUGAAGAUUCAGUUUCUGCUCAAUGCAAUGACACACAGACGGCCACAGAGCUGAAAGCCACCAGUGAGGCUCCACGCUCCAGAAGGAAGAGAAAGCAGCCAGACGAGAGCGAACCUGUGAAGAGGUCAACGCGCUCCGCUGCCAAGUCUGCCUGUGGGAGGCUGAAGGUGAGUUUGCUGAGUCUGCAGCUUCUGGGUUCUCCUCUAUUCAGGUUCCUGAGAAAUCUGCAUAAAUAAGCAGAGCGCUGAGGUGAUGUCUGAUGGAAGCCGUUUGCAUCUGUGCGGUUGCUGCACCGGAAACCAUCUGCGGCGUCUAGUUACCUGAUAACAUUUUGUUGAACUGACUGAAAUCGGUCGAAUUUUGCUUCUUCCACAUUCAGUGAAACUGUUAUUUGGGAUGGAUGCUGCCCACAUUUUUUUUCAAUAGAAAACCACUCAUUUCUGGUUCUUUUGUUUGGAUUUUAAUAUUUUAAUUGUCUUUUUUUUUUUAGAUUUCACACCAAACAUUACAUCGCCAGAUUAUUUAGAUACUUUUUUAAUCUAAAAAUUUAUAAUCUUAAUGUAAACAAUCAUCUUCGAAAUAAUACAAUUGUAGAAACAAAGCAGAACGCAGCCUGUGAUCUAAUAGGAGGUUGACCGGAGGAGGUUGCUUCAGAUUUAGUUGGAAAUACAUUAUUUGGAUAAACAGUUGACGAGUUGCUGUAUUUAAAAGAAUGUAAACAUUAGAGCUAAAGCCAAUACCUGUCGUCUGUUCUUUGUCAUUUAUAAAUCCUUCCUGCAGUGUCGCUUGAUGGACAGCAGGGGGUGCAGGCCACUUUGAAGCCAGCUUGUUUUUAAAGUGUUAUUUCAGUGUCAAGGUGUGGUGCUUUUAAAUAUUAAAACCAAUUGCUAGUGUUCCUGCUCUAGUAUAUAUACAUUACUGCAGAUGGAGCGUGUAGCAUUACCUUUAGCUGUGGGUGGAGGAAUAAGUGUCAAACAACGCUCCUUUUUCUUAUAUGGUCCUCCAUUCUGCUGGAGCGCUGUUGUCUGUGCCUGACUCAGGCUGUGCAGCUGAUAGGCUGUCAAAAUCACGUGACAGCUGACUAGGAAAUAAAUA